CAGUGAGGAAUAUUGGUCAAUAGCCUAACGGCUGAACCAGCAACUUGGGAGAAUGCUACUUAUUAGUCGAGAAAGUAAGUAUACAUUUACCUUGUAUAUAGUUCUAGGUAAAAUUUUGAUAAUGACAAAUUUUUAUUUAUUUGUCUUGACCAAAUCUUGUGCCAGCAGUCGCGGCAACACAAGGAAGACAAGUGUUAUUCAUCUUAAAUAGGUUUAAGGGGUACCUAGACGGUAAAUUAGGCCAUAGUAGGUACGUUUUUACUAGAGUUAUACAUGCAUGGGGAUUGUGUCAGUAUUACCAGAGUAGAGAUAGAAUUUUUUGAUACUGUUAAGACUGGUAAAGGSGAAAGCAAACCUUUAAAUAUUAACUGACGUUGAGGGACGAAGGCUUGGGGAGCAAACAGGAUUAGAUACCCUAAUAGUCCAGGCAGAGAAUUAUGAAUGUCAUAGGUUAUUUUUUUAAAUAGUCUAUAAAUGAAAGUGUAAGCAUUCCACCUCAAGAGUAAUGUGGCAACGCAGGACCUGAAAUCAUUAGACCGUUUCU
Molecule: ribosomal RNA, 544 nt
Filed under: Astrothelium floridanum
Lineage: Eukaryota; Fungi; Ascomycota; Dothideomycetes; Trypetheliales; Trypetheliaceae
Description: SSU rRNA
Rfam family: Bacterial small subunit ribosomal RNA
Source: RNAcentral